RNAcentral lists this ribosomal RNA (434 nucleotides) under uncultured bacterium. Its description in RNAcentral is "bacterial SSU rRNA". It matches the Rfam family "Bacterial small subunit ribosomal RNA", at positions 29 to 507 of the family's 1533-position model. The record is from RNAcentral.
AACGAACGCUGGCGGCGUGCCUAACACAUGCAAGUCGGACGAACGUAGCAAUACGUUAGUGGCGCACGGGUGAGUAACACGUGGGAAUCUGCCCUUUAGUUCGGAAUAACACCGGGAAACUGGUGCUAACACCGGAUACGCCCUUCGGGGGAAAGUUUAUCGCUAAAGGAUGAGCCCGCGUUGGAUUAGCUAGUUGGUGGGGUAAUGGCCUACCAAGGCGACGAUCCAUAGCUGAUCUUAGAGGAUGAUCAGCCACACUGGGACUGAGACACGGCCCAGACUCCUACGGGAGGCAGCAGUGGGGAAUAUUGGACAAUGGGGGAAACCCUGAUCCAGCAACGCCGCGUGGAUGAUGAAGGUCUUCGGAUUGUAAAGUCCUUUUGGCGGGGACGAUGAUGACGGUACCCGCAGAAUAAGCUCCGGCUAACUUCGUG